This 255-nucleotide unclassified non-coding RNA is filed under the name Hevea brasiliensis (rubber tree). The record is from RNAcentral. Lineage: Eukaryota; Viridiplantae; Streptophyta; Magnoliopsida; Malpighiales; Euphorbiaceae.
GGUUCUUUUCUAUUUAUUGCAGUCGUGGGUGGAUUUUAGUUUAAUUUUAGAAUCUUGGCUGAAGAGGGAGGGAAAGAUGUUUGGUCGGGCCACUUUAGCAAGAACAGGAAGUUUUAGGCCAGAAAAUCUUGGCCAAAAUGCAUUGGCCAUGAUUGGGAAUCUCUGCUUUACAAUAUUUGUCCUAGGAGUCCUGAUUUUCACCAUUAUUGCUGCUACAUAUGAGCCGGAGGACCCGCUUUUUCAUCCAUCAACAAA